RNAcentral lists this ribosomal RNA (476 nucleotides) under uncultured Polynucleobacter sp. Its description in RNAcentral is "bacterial SSU rRNA". It matches the Rfam family "Bacterial small subunit ribosomal RNA", at positions 1 to 484 of the family's 1533-position model. Lineage: Bacteria; Pseudomonadati; Pseudomonadota; Betaproteobacteria; Burkholderiales; Burkholderiaceae. The record is from RNAcentral.
CAUGGAGUUUGAUCCUGGCUCAGAUUGAACGCUGGCGGCAUGCCUUACACAUGCAAGUCGAACGGCAGCACGGGUGCUUGCACCUGGUGGCGAGUGGCGAACGGGUGAGUAAUAUAUCGGAACGUACCUUAUCGUGGGGGAUAACGUAGCGAAAGCUGCGCUAAUACCGCAUACGCCCUGAGGGGAAAGCGGGGACCGUAAGGCCUCGCGCGAUUAGAGCGGCCGAUAUCUGAUUAGCUUGUUGGUGGGGUAAAAGCCCACCAAGGCGACGAUCGGUAGCUGGUCUGAGAGGACGAUCAGCCACACUGGGGACUGAGACACGGCCAGACUCCUACGGGAGCAGCAGUGGGGAAUUUGGACAAUGGGGGCAACCCUGAUCCCAGCAAUGCCGCGUGAGUGAAGAAGGCCUUCGGUUGUAAAGCUCUUUGUCAGGAGAACAGCAGCUCUAACACAGUCUGCGAAUGACGGUACCUGAA